GGAGGUUUGGCACCUCGAUGUCGGCUCAUCGCAUCCUGGGGCUGUAGUCGGUCCCAAGGGUUGGGCUGUUCGCCCAUUAAAGCGGUACGCGAGCUGGGUUCAGAACGUCGUGAGACAGUUCGGUCCCUAUCCGUCGUGGGCGUAGGAAAUUUGAGAGGAGCUGUCCUUAGUACGAGAGGACCGGGAUGGACAUACCUCUGGUGUACCAGUUGUCGUGCCAACGGCAUAGCUGGGUAGCUAUGUAUGGACGGGAUAAGUGCUGAAAGCAUCUAAGCAUGAAGCCCCCCUCGAGAUGAGAUUUCCCAACUUCGGUUAUAAGAUCCCUCAAAGAUGAUGAGGUGAAU
Molecule: ribosomal RNA, 344 nt
Filed under: Staphylococcus pseudintermedius
Lineage: Bacteria; Bacillati; Bacillota; Bacilli; Caryophanales; Staphylococcaceae
Description: partial 23S ribosomal RNA
Rfam family: Bacterial large subunit ribosomal RNA
Source: RNAcentral